GAUGAACGCUGGCGGCGUGCUUAACACAUGCAAGUCGAACGGGAAACCUUUUAAUGAAGCUUCGGCAGAUUUAGCUGGUUUCUAGUGGCGGACGGGUGAGUAACGCGUGGGUAACCUGCCUUAUACAGGGGGAUAACAGUCAGAAAUGACUGCUAAUACCGCAUAAGCGCACAGGACCGCAUGGUCCGGUGUGAAAAACUCCGGUGGUAUAAGAUGGACCCGCGUUGGAUUAGCUUGUUGGUGGGGUAACGGCUCACCAAGGCGACGAUCCAUAGCCGGCCUGGGAGGGUGACCGGCCACAUUGGGACUGAGACACGGCCCAGACUCCUACGGGAGGCAGCAGUGGGGAAUACUGCACAAUGGGGGAAACCCUGAUGCAGCGACGCCGCGUGAAGGAAGAAGUAUCUCGGUAUGUAAACUUCUAUCAGCAGGGAAGAUAGUGACGGUACCUGACGAAGAAGCCCCGGCUAACUACGUG
This 478-nucleotide ribosomal RNA is filed under the name uncultured bacterium. RNAcentral describes it as "partial 16S ribosomal RNA". It matches the Rfam family "Bacterial small subunit ribosomal RNA", at positions 28 to 507 of the family's 1533-position model. The record is from RNAcentral.